RNAcentral lists this ribosomal RNA (406 nucleotides) under uncultured bacterium. Its description in RNAcentral is "partial 16S ribosomal RNA". It matches the Rfam family "Bacterial small subunit ribosomal RNA", at positions 30 to 526 of the family's 1533-position model. The record is from RNAcentral.
AUUGAACGCUGGCGGCAGGCCUAACACAUGCAAGUCGAACGAGUGGCGGACGGGUGAGUAAUGUCUGGGCAACUGCCUGAUGGAGGGGGAUAACUACUGGAAACGGUAGCUAAUACCGCAUACCAUCGGAUGUGCCCAGAUGGGAUUAGCUAGGAGGUGGGGUAACGGCUCACCUAGGCGACGAUCCCUAGCUGGUCUGAGAGGAUGACGGCCCACACUGGAACUGAGACACGGUCCACACUCUUACGGGAGGCAGCAGUGGGGAAUAUUGCACACUGGGCGAAAGCCUGAUGCAGCCAUGCCGCGUGUAUGAAGAAGGCCUUCGGGUUGUAAAGUACUUUCAGCGGGGAGGCGUUACCCGCAGAAGAAGCACCGGCUAACUCCGUGCCAGCAGCCGCGGUAAUUC